RNAcentral lists this ribosomal RNA (481 nucleotides) under uncultured bacterium. RNAcentral describes it as "partial 16S ribosomal RNA". It matches the Rfam family "Bacterial small subunit ribosomal RNA", at positions 28 to 507 of the family's 1533-position model. The record is from RNAcentral.
GAUGAACGCUGGCGGCGUGCUUAACACAUGCAAGUCGAACGAAGCACUUUAUUUGAUUUCCUUCGGGACUGAUUAUUUUGUGACUGAGUGGCGGACGGGUGAGUAACGCGUGGGUAACCUGCCUUGUACAGGGGGAUAACAGUUGGAAACGGCUGCUAAUACCGCAUAAGCGCACAGCAUCGCAUGAUGCAGUGUGAAAGACUCCGGUGGUAUAAGAUGGACCCGCGUUGGAUUAGCUAGUUGGUGAGGUAACGGCCCACCAAGGCGACGAUCCAUAGCCGACCUGAGAGGGUGACCGGCCACAUUGGGACUGAGACACGGCCCAAACUCCUACGGGAGGCAGCAGUGGGGAAUAUUGCACAAUGGGCGAAAGCCUGAUGCAGCGACGCCGCGUGAGCGAAGAAGUAUUUCGGUAUGUAAAGCUCUAUCAGCAGGGAAGAUAAUGACGGUACCUGACUAAGAAGCACCGGCUAAAUACGUG